Molecule: long non-coding RNA, 467 nt
Organism: Heterocephalus glaber (naked mole-rat)
Lineage: Eukaryota; Metazoa; Chordata; Mammalia; Rodentia; Bathyergidae
Source: Ensembl
GCUGAUUUGGAAGAUGAAUCUACGAGAAGUUGCCACUUACAUAAUAAAAAGCAAAAGAGAUGUUCAAGUUCAGAUUUGACUAAUAUCCUCAGUGGGAAGACUUGCGGACCAGGCACUGGAAUUCUCUGAAGGCUUCUCCGAGCAUCUCUCCAUGUCUCUGAGCUCUCUCUCUGUGAUCUUGCUGGUCUGGUGGCUUCGGGGUAGCAGGAUAUCUUAUACAUUGUCUCCAAGCCUCAUGUUUUCAAAGAGAGAGUGGCAUAGAGAAUAGAAAGCCAGAAAAAGGUCUAGAUGCAGUGCCUUCAGCAAUAGCAAGGAGAAUAUGGCAAAGAGCUAAAUCACAUUGUCCACUACUGUGCUUGUCAGGCUAUGAGGACCCCUUUAGGUGCUUUGGGAACUUGAUGUUCAAUGGAAUUAUUUUUCACAUUCGUGGAAAGCAGUUUCUCUUAUGCUGCUCACCACAUGGUGGC